Molecule: long non-coding RNA, 1007 nt
Organism: Gadus morhua (Atlantic cod)
Lineage: Eukaryota; Metazoa; Chordata; Actinopteri; Gadiformes; Gadidae
Exons: 4
Source: RefSeq, a predicted model, not a curated record
UGAUGCUGCAGGGGAGCUGAUGGAGCUGAUGGAGCUGAUGCUGCAGGGGAGCUGAUGGAGCUGAUGCUGCAGGGGAGCUGAUGGAGCUGAUGCUGCAGGGGAGCUGAUGGAGCUGAUGCUGCAGGGGAGCUGAUGGAGCUGAUGGAGCUGAUGGCGCCGGGCUGGGGGUCCGGCCUGACGCAGGAUGUUCCUGUUGGGGUGAAGCUGAUGACUCACCUGGAACGAUGCAUGGACCACAAUGGGACCACAAUGGGACUAAUUAAGCCUUUGGAAGAGCAGGAGUCCAUGGCUGAGGAAGGAGUCGUCAGGAGGAAGACCAUGAGUCGGCCUGCCAACAAGCGUCACUGGGGAGUUUGCAUAAACUGUUUUGUUUGCCAUCAGACAUGACCGCAAACGACCAAUAUUACCAAACCAGUCAGACUGCUUCUGUGUGUUACCAGACCACAAAAACUAGUGUGAUGUUUGUUACCAGACUAAAUAAUCCUGUUGCAAGACAAACUACCACUGUUUGAUACAAGACUAAAUAAUGCUGUUACCAGACAAACUACCACUGUUUGAUGCAAGACUAAAUAAUGCUGUUACCAGACAAACUACCACUGUUUGAUGCAAGACUAAAUAAUGCUGUUACCAGACAAACUACCACUGACGGAUACCAGACUAAAUAAUGCUGUUACCAGACAAACUACCACUGACGGAUACCAGACUAAAUAAUGCUGUUACCAGACAAACUACCACUGACGGAUACCAGACUAAAUAAUGCUGUUACCAGACAAACUACCCCUGACGGAUACCAGACUAAAUAAUGCUGUUACCAGACAAACUACCCCUGCUGGUUACCAGAUGUUGAGGCGUAACCAAUGCUGUUUGUUUUCCAGAGCCGUGGCGGAGCUAUGUUGGAGGACUGGGCUGGUGAACGCUGUCCCUAGUGCGGCCUGAUUGUGAUCAGAGGACGCAGACGGCUCUUUAGGGGUCACUUGGAGGACAACCAUGUGUCGGUCUUUGGAAGG